AUGAACGCUGGCGGCGUGCCUAAUACAUGCAAGUCGAGCGAACGGACGAGAAGCUUGCUUCUCUGAUGUUAGCGGCGGACGGGUGAGUAACACGUGGAUAACCUACCUAUAAGACUGGGAUAACUUCGGGAAACCGGAGCUAAUACCGGAUAAUAUUUUGAACCGCAUGGUUCAAAGGUGAAAGACGGUCUUGCUGUCACUUAUAGAUGGAUCCGCGCUGCAUUAGCUAGUUGGUAAGGUAACGGCUUACCAAGGCAACGAUGCAUAGCCGACCUGAGGGGGGGAUCGGCCACAAGGAAACUGAACCCGGGGCAGAAACCCACGGGGAGGACGGAGGAGGGAACUUUCCGAAUGGGGGGAAAGCCCAAGGGGGGAACCGCGGGGGAGUGAGGAAAGCUUUGGGAUCAAAAAACUCUUUUAAUAGGGAAGAAAAAUGGGGUAAGAAACGGGACACAAGUUGACGGUUCCAAGGCAAAAACCCCGGGUAAAAAACGG
RNAcentral lists this ribosomal RNA (495 nucleotides) under uncultured bacterium. Its description in RNAcentral is "partial 16S ribosomal RNA". It matches the Rfam family "Bacterial small subunit ribosomal RNA", at positions 30 to 506 of the family's 1533-position model. The record is from RNAcentral.